RNAcentral lists this ribosomal RNA (253 nucleotides) under uncultured bacterium. Its description in RNAcentral is "partial 16S ribosomal RNA". It matches the Rfam family "Bacterial small subunit ribosomal RNA", at positions 524 to 776 of the family's 1533-position model. The record is from RNAcentral.
UACGGAGGGUGCAAACGUUGCUCGGAAUCAUUGGGCGUAAAGCGCACGUAGGCGGUCUCGAACGUCAGAUGUGAAAGCCCUCGGCUUAACCAAGGAAGUGCAUUUGAAACUUCGAGACUUGAGUACUGGAGAGGGUCGCAGAAUUCUCGGUGUAGAGGUGAAAUUCGUAGAUAUCGGGAGGAAUACCAGUGGCGAAGGCGGGUCUCUGGGACGGUACUGACGCUGAGACGCGAAAGCGUGGGGAGCGAACAGG